This 253-nucleotide ribosomal RNA is filed under the name uncultured bacterium. Its description in RNAcentral is "partial 16S ribosomal RNA". It matches the Rfam family "Bacterial small subunit ribosomal RNA", at positions 524 to 776 of the family's 1533-position model. The record is from RNAcentral.
UACGGGGGGGGUAAGCGUUGUUCGGAAUUACUGGGCGUAAAGGGCGCGUAGGCGGCUUUAUAAGUCGGGGGUGAAAGCCUGUGGCUCAACCACAGAAUUGCCUUCGAUACUGUAGAGCUUGAGUUCGGGAGAGGUGAGUGGAACUGCGAGUGUAGAGGUGAAAUUCGUAGAUAUUCGCAAGAACACCAGUGGCGAAGGCGGCUCACUGGCCCGAUACUGACGCUGAGGUGCGAAAGCGUGGGGAGCAAACAGG